This is a long non-coding RNA of Ictidomys tridecemlineatus (thirteen-lined ground squirrel), 1561 nucleotides long. NCBI's taxonomy places the organism in Eukaryota, Metazoa, Chordata, Mammalia, Rodentia, Sciuridae. The record is from Ensembl.
GAGGGCAAGUUUUUACUUUUUUUUUUUUUUUUUUGGUGUGGGGGAUCAAACCCAGGACCUUGUGCACUCAAGGCAAGCACUCCACCAACUGAGCUAUAGCCCAGCCCAGGUUCUUACAUUUUGGCUUUCAGGUAUACCCUGGAUUAGGAGGAAAAACAGUUCAUGUUCACAAUCCUAUCUCAGCCUCUGAUUCAUGUGAUCUUGGCUAAAUUGCAUCUCUGGGCCUCAGUUUUCCUCCCAUGACAUGGGCUAACUGCUGCUGUCACCUCCAGGAUGGUCAAAAGAAUCAAAGUGAAGGAUAAGGUUGGGGGGAUGGCAAAGACCACAGAGCACAGGUAAGUGGUGGUGAGCUUUCUGACUCUCCUAAUAGUUCUGAGAGACCCUGGGAGAGGGCGCAGAGGGAGUCCCUGACUGUUCUCCCUGAAGAGAUGAUCCUUGCCCCCACCAUACCCCUGGAUAGUUUUCCUAUAACUCGUGGGAAAGUGCCUUGAGGCUGAUGACUGACAGCUUCCUUUUCCACAGCACCUCCUGUCAUGUCCCCCCGGCAUCCCUGGAGGCCCUCUGACCUGCUCUGGCUAUUUAUGGCUCCUCCUGUAGACCUAAAUUCCUGGCUCUCCUUUCCAAGUCAGACCAGUUCCCCCCACUGGCCCCAGAGUUACAACAGCUAAUCUGGGGGAUCAGGUGCCAAGAUCCUGGCUCCUCCCCCUGCAGCUGCUACUACACUCUUUGGGGGGCUGGGUGCCCUGUCCCUUACCCCUACCCCUGUUGGGGAAGGUUCUAUCAAUGUCCUCCUGCACAGGAGGAAACUGAGCAAUGAGGUAUUUUAUUCAAGGUCACACAGGAUCUCAGUGGUGUGCUGGGGUUUGAACCUAGCCUUUUCCUCCUGCAUCUUAUGCUGCCUGGACCUCAGUAACAAGGAGAGCAGUGAACUGACAUUAACACAGCCCUGGUUGCUGGUCGGACAAUACCCUCAGCACCGGCACAUUAAUUCCUCCACUCUUCACAAGGAUGUUUGGGAAAUUGGCAAAGAGAGGAAGAGCAAAUUGUUGAGGAAAGAGAAGAGAGACGAAUAUAUUACUACCUGGCUUUGCUCUUUCACCUACCUCUCCCCACCUCUCCAGCCAUGAGGUGGGAGAUAUGCUCAGCCUUGUGAGGAGUCUGUCUCUCCCGCCUGCACAGAAUAAAUCAUAUUCAGACACCCAUUCCGAUGCAUAAGGAAUAAUACUACCCAAGGACAAAGAAGCACAUGUAUGUGAUUGGAUGGCAUACAUUGAGCAAAGACAAGAGGUGGCUCCAACUCUUUUAUAGGCUCAACUCUGGUGACAAGAGAGGAGAGGCUGAAUGCAGGUCUGUUCCAGACUAGUCUCUGAACUCAGAGUUGGGGUAGGGGAAGGGCAAGAGGCCCAAAAGUAUUGAGAGACUGUGAAAUUAGAGCCUUCUGCCUAGAUUAGGGAGCUGGUGCAGAGGGGGAUUUUUAAGGACAGAUCUUUAGGGUCACAUCUUUAGGUUCAGAGCUUGGGGGUGGGAUCCUACCCUUUCAUUUCAUGCUGAAUUUCUGUAC